This 253-nucleotide ribosomal RNA is filed under the name uncultured bacterium. RNAcentral describes it as "partial 16S ribosomal RNA". It matches the Rfam family "Bacterial small subunit ribosomal RNA", at positions 524 to 776 of the family's 1533-position model. The record is from RNAcentral.
UACAGAGGGGGCAAGCGUUGUUCGGAAUUACUGGGCGUAAAGGGCGCGUAGGCGGCCUGCUAAGUCGAACGUGAAAUCCCUGGGCUCAACCCAGGAACUGCGUCCGAUACUGGUUGGCUUGAAUCCGGGAGAGGGAUGUGGAAUUCCAGGUGUAGCGGUGAAAUGCGUAGAUAUCUGGAGGAACACCGGUGGCGAAGGCGACAUCCUGGACCGGUAUUGACGCUGAGGCGCGAAAGCUAGGGUAGCAAACGGG